AACGGCCGCGGUAUCCUAACCGUGCGAAGGUAGCGUAAUCACUUGUUCUUUAAAUGAGGACUAGUAUGAAUGGCACCACGAGGGUUAAACUGUCUCCUUUUUUUAAUCAGUGAAACUAAUCUCCCCGUGAAGAAGCGGGGAUUCUUUUAUAAGACGAGAAGACCCUAUGGAGCUUUAAACAAGUUAACACCUGCUACUAAUCUUCACCUUCCUGAACCACCACAUUAAGUAUAGCACCUCUGAUUAACAGUUUUCGAUUGGGGUGAUCAUGGAGCAAAAAUCAACCUCCACGACGAAAAGGAACACCUCCUUGAGCCAAAAGCUACAACUUUAAGCACUAAAAAACUAACGCACUUUGACCCAAUUCUUUGAGCAACGAACCAAGUUACCCUAGGGAUAACAGCGCAAUCCACUUUAAGAGCUCCUAUCGACAAGUGGGUUUACGACCUCGAUGUUGGAUCAGGGUAUCCCAGUGGUG
Molecule: ribosomal RNA, 478 nt
Filed under: Boana raniceps (Chaco treefrog)
Lineage: Eukaryota; Metazoa; Chordata; Amphibia; Anura; Hylidae
Description: partial large subunit ribosomal RNA
Rfam family: Bacterial large subunit ribosomal RNA
Source: RNAcentral